CUACGUGCCAGCAGCCGCGGUAAUACGGAGGGUGCGAGCGUUAAUCGGAAUAACUGGGCGUAAAGGGCACGCAGGCGGUGACUUAAGUGAGGUGUGAAAGCCCCGGGCUUAACCUGGGAAUUGCAUUUCAUACUGGGUCGCUAGAGUACUUUAGGGAGGGGUAGAAUUCCACGUGUAGCGGUGAAAUGCGUAGAGAUGUGGAGGAAUACCGAAGGCGAAGGCAGCCCCUUGGGAAUGUACUGACGCUCAUGUGCGAAAGCGUGGGGAGCAAACAGGAUUAGAUACCCUGGUAGUCCACACCGUAAACGAUGUACACUAGGUGUUGGGGCAAGAGCUUCAGUGCCAAAGCAAACGCGAUAAGUGUACCGCCUGGGGAGUAUGCCCGCAAGGGUGAAACUCAAAGGAAUUGACGGGGGCCCGCACAAGCGGUGGAGCAUGUGGUUUAAUUCGAUGGUACGCGAGGAACCUUACCUGGGUUUGACAUCUAGUAGAAGGUCUUAGAGAUAAG
Molecule: ribosomal RNA, 508 nt
Filed under: uncultured bacterium
Lineage: Bacteria
Description: bacterial SSU rRNA
Rfam family: Bacterial small subunit ribosomal RNA
Source: RNAcentral